GAUGAAUGCUGGCGGCGUGCCUAACACAUGCAAGUCGAGCGGCAGCGAGGGGUGCUUGCACCCUGUCGGCGAGCGGCGAACGGCUGAGUAACGCGUAGGAAUUUGCCCCAAAGUGAGGAAUAACUGCCCGAAAGGGUAGCUAAUGCCGCAUAUGGUCUUCGGAUUAAAGGAUUUAUCCGCUUUGGGAGAAGCCUGCGUUGGAUUAGGUUGUUGGUAGGGUAAUGGCCUACCAAGCCGACGAUCCAUAGCUGGUCUGAGGGGAUGAUCAGCCAGACUGGAACUGAGACACGGUCCAGACUCCUACGGGAGGCAGCAGUGAGGAAUCUUCCACAAUGGGCGAAAGCCUGAUGGAGCAACGCCGCGUGAAGGAUGAAGGCCUUCGGGUUGUAAACUUCUUUUAUGAGUCAAGAAUAUGACGGUAACUCAUGAAUAAGCACCGGCUAACUACGUG
This 451-nucleotide ribosomal RNA is filed under the name uncultured bacterium. RNAcentral's name for it is "partial 16S ribosomal RNA". It matches the Rfam family "Bacterial small subunit ribosomal RNA", at positions 28 to 507 of the family's 1533-position model. The record is from RNAcentral.